Molecule: ribosomal RNA, 253 nt
Filed under: uncultured bacterium
Lineage: Bacteria
Also listed under: 1 other name
Description: partial 16S ribosomal RNA
Rfam family: Bacterial small subunit ribosomal RNA
Source: RNAcentral
GACGAACCGAGCGAACGUUGUUCGGAAUAACUGGGCUUAAAGGGCGCGUAGGCGGGCCGCCAAGUUCGAGGUGAAAUCCUCCGGCUCAACCGGAGAACUGCCUCGAAUACUGGAGGCCUCGAGGCGGGUAGGGGCAUGCGGAACUGUGGGUGGAGCGGUGAAAUGCGUUGAUAUCCACAGGAACUCCGGUGGCGAAGGCGGCAUGCUGGACCCGAUCUGACGCUGAGGCGCGAAAGCCAGGGGAGCAAACGGG